This is a long non-coding RNA of Clupea harengus (Atlantic herring), 145 nucleotides long. RefSeq lists it as uncharacterized. The record is from RefSeq and is a predicted model, not a curated record. Lineage: Eukaryota; Metazoa; Chordata; Actinopteri; Clupeiformes; Clupeidae. The transcript has 3 exons.
AUGAAGCAGGAGGACUUGCAAAGAGAUUGAAGACUUCAUGAAAGCAAGGGCUUCAAUUGAGGAGAAAUAUGCAAAGGAGCUUCUCAGUUUAUCCAAGAAGGUGUGUGGACAUAACGAAAUGAACACUUUAAAGCGAUACCCAGAU